This 403-nucleotide long non-coding RNA is filed under the name Citrus x clementina. RNAcentral describes it as "Citrus clementina (C. clementina) long non-coding RNA (CCLE_LNC005316)". The record is from RNAcentral. Lineage: Eukaryota; Viridiplantae; Streptophyta; Magnoliopsida; Sapindales; Rutaceae.
CUUUUUCGAAGACUUCUUCUCCACCAAAGCGCGCCUUUUCAGCUGCUUGCGGUUCGCGCCGCGGCGAGUGUAGGUGACACUGAAGGCACUGGGCACGUGGCGAGGGGGAGAAAACAUCUCUGUAUAGAAAUCUUCUUCGACUUGUUCUUGCUGUUUCGGGUUUGAAUUUUGGGAAUUUGGGAUUUCUAGGGUUAGGGUUUCGGGCGCUGUUGGGGUUUCUUGCACUUGUUGCUUCGACGGUGAAAAUGAAUUGCAGAAGGCACUGGGCACGUGGCGAGGGGGAGAAAACAUCUCCGUAUAGAAAUCUUCUUUGACUUGUUCUUGCUGUUUCGGGUUUGAAUCUUGGGAAUCUGGGAUUUCUAGGUUUAGGGUUUCGGGCGCUGUUGGGGUGUCUUGCACUUGU